RNAcentral lists this unclassified non-coding RNA (1342 nucleotides) under Hevea brasiliensis (rubber tree). The record is from RNAcentral. Lineage: Eukaryota; Viridiplantae; Streptophyta; Magnoliopsida; Malpighiales; Euphorbiaceae.
CUGAACCUGAUCAUUUUGUCAAGGUUCAGGCAAACUACUAUUUCUGUUAGGGUGUUCCAAACAUUGUCUAUUUGGUCUAAAUUACAUGCACAACAUAGACACGCGUUACACAAGGAUGCAUGCAAGUUAACCUAUGAACAACCAUGAAGAAGUUAGAUAAAUACAUUCUAUGGUGUUACCCUCUUGUGUUUUAUGUUCCUUUUGCUUCCUUCCAAUUGCUAGGUCAAAGUGCCUCUGAGAAACGUAAAUCUGCUGGCCCAGGACCCAAAAUCCCCUUCUGUUCACUUAUCUUGCCCAGUCCAAGAGGUGGUGGUGGUGGUGGUGGUGGUGGUGGUGGCGCCUCUGUGGUCUUUUCAUCGUCUCUCCAUACAGUUGCCUGCCAGUCUCUCUCAUCAUGAUUGAAACUAUCGUCCUGCAAUAGUGGGGUUGCAAGAGGUGGGGCAACAUCUGGGUCUGGCUUCUGAAAUAUAAAUGUUGUAUAUAGACCUAGCACGUCAAAUGACCGAGGAAGAAGUCUUCCCCUCGGAUCCACUAGGUUUGGACCAGCAUUCAAUAGCAUGCUUGCAAAAUGCAUUCUGUUAUCAUCAUAGAACUCUGUCAAAUUUUGAAUCUCCACAUACUCCAAACCAGCUUCCCGGGCCAACCUGAUCAAGCUAGGAAAAUGAACCAAGCAAUGAGUUUCAGCAGGGUCAUGCGCAAAUUUUAACUGGUAUUUCUUUCCAAAUAAUGGAAACUUCUCUUCCUCAACUUCGAAGGUUAUCAUAUAGCUCUCUGACCGAAUACAAUUGGGAACUAUAUUUGGCUUCAUGCUGCCACUUCUGUUGUGGUAUGCUUCAACAUUCUUCUGGUACUUUGCCCAUAUGGUAGAUGAGUCAGGAGUAAUACCGAAAAAAUAACCCCCUGGUUUAAGCAAAGAUGACACAUUAUGUAGAAGUUUCCUUGCAUUUUCCUCAUUUUCAAAACACAACUGCAAAUUCUGUAAGCAGCAUACUAAAUCAGCCUGGUUGGCCUUCUCCUGUAGCUGCAAUCCAAAAUUUUCUGUGCAAGGAUCAGCCUCAAAGAACUCAGCAGUGUAAAUUUUCCUCUGACUUUCCCAUGCUUCCCUCAUCUCACUUACUCCAGAUGAUGAUACAUCAAUUCCAAUAUAAUGGCCAAUUUGAGCACCAUCCCAUUUCUCUGCGUCCACUCCUCCUCCUCCACAAUACAAAUCGCACACAGUGGCGUAGGGAUGGACAAAUAUCUUGAUAAGUGCCAAUUUGGCAAACUCAUAGAGGCGAUGGUGAGUCGACUCGGUCCUAGGAAUCGCAAAUGAACUCAUCCUCUCCGGACGCAUUCGAACUCA